UUCCUACGGGAGGCAGCAGUGGGGAAUAUUGGGCAAUGGGCGCAAGCCUGACCCAGCAACGCCGCGUGAAGGAAGAAGGCUUUCGGGUUGUAAACUUCUUUUCUGGGGGACGAACAAAUGACGGUACCCCAGGAAUAAGCCACGGCUAACUACGUGCCAGCAGCCGCGGUAAUACGUAGGUGGCAAGCGUUAUCCGGAUUUAUUGGGUGUAAAGGGCGUGUAGGCGGGAAUGCAAGUCAGAUGUGAAAACUAUGGGCUCAACCCAUAGCCUGCAUUUGAAACUGUAUUUCUUGAGUGCUGGAGAG
RNAcentral lists this ribosomal RNA (305 nucleotides) under uncultured bacterium. RNAcentral's name for it is "bacterial SSU rRNA". It matches the Rfam family "Bacterial small subunit ribosomal RNA", at positions 336 to 656 of the family's 1533-position model. The record is from RNAcentral.